UGUAGCAGAUUUCAGACUGCCUCAGUUCAACCCUAACAGCCCCAUCGGUCAGGAGUUUGUGGUCCCUAAAUCAGGAUUUUUCUGUAACAUCUGCUCUGUUUUCUGCCUGAAUGAGAAGACCGCCAAGGAACUCCACUGCUGCAGCCAGAAACACUACGACAACCUGCAGAAGUAUUAUGAGGAACGUCGACAAAGA
Molecule: long non-coding RNA, 196 nt
Organism: Oreochromis niloticus (Nile tilapia)
Lineage: Eukaryota; Metazoa; Chordata; Actinopteri; Cichliformes; Cichlidae
Exons: 3
Source: RefSeq, a predicted model, not a curated record